UACGGAGGGUGCAAGCGUUAAUCGGAUUUAUUGGGCGUAAAGGGGGCGUAGGCGGAAAAGCAAGCCAGAUGUGAAAGCCCGGGGCUCAACCCCGGAACGGCAUUUGGAACUACUUUCCUUGAGGAUAGGCGGAGAAAACGGAAUUCCACAAGUAGCGGUGAAAUGCGUAGAUAUGUGGAAGAACACCGGUGGCGAAAGCGGUUUUCUAGCUUAUUCCUGACGCUAAGGCCCGAAAGCUAGGGGAGCAAACAGG
RNAcentral lists this ribosomal RNA (253 nucleotides) under uncultured bacterium. Its description in RNAcentral is "partial 16S ribosomal RNA". It matches the Rfam family "Bacterial small subunit ribosomal RNA", at positions 524 to 776 of the family's 1533-position model. The record is from RNAcentral.